Molecule: ribosomal RNA, 816 nt
Filed under: uncultured bacterium
Lineage: Bacteria
Description: bacterial SSU rRNA
Rfam family: Bacterial small subunit ribosomal RNA
Source: RNAcentral
AGAGUUUGAUCAUGGCUCAGAAUGAACGCUGGCGGCGUGCUUAACACAUGCAAGUCGCACGAGAACGCUUCAGCUUGCUGAAGCUAGUAAAGUGGCGUACGGGUGAGUAACGCGUGGGUAAUCAACCUCUGAAUUGGGGAUAACAUUGCGAAAGCGAUGCUAAUACCGGAUAAUAUCCAUUGAACCUUGGUUUUUUGGAUCAAAGGUGGCCUCUACAUGUAAGCUACUGUUUGGAGACGAGCCCGCGUACCAUUAGCUUGUUGGUAGGGUAAUGGCCUACCAAGGCAACGAUGGUUAGCUGGUCUGAGAGGAUGAUCAGCCACACUGGAACUGACACACGGUCCAGACUCCUACGGGAGGCAGCAGUGAGGAAUUUUGCGCAAUGGGGGAAACCCUGACGCAGCAACGCCGCGUGAGUGAUGAAGGCUUUCGGGUCGUAAAGCUCUGUCAAGUGGGAAGAACCCGUGCCGCACAAAUAGUGCGGUGCGCUGACGGUACCACUGAAGGAAGCACCGGCUAACUCCGUGCCAGCAGCCGCGGUAAUACGGGGGGUGCAAGCGUUAUUCGGAAUCAUUGGGCGUAAAGAGCGCGUAGGCGGUCUUCUAUGUCAGGUGUGAAAGCCCUGGGCUCAACCCGGGAAGUGCACUUGAAACUGGGAGACUUGAGUAUGGGAGAGGGAAGUGGAAUUCCUGGUGUAGCGGUGAAAUGCGUAGAUAUCAGGAGGAACACCGGUGGCGAAGGCGGGUCUCUGGGCCGUAACUGACGCUGAGGAGCGAAAGCAUGGGGAGCGAACAGGAUUAGAUACCCUAGUAGUCC